GACGAACGCUGGCGGCGUGCUUAACACAUGCAAGUCGAACGGAAAGGCCCUGCUUUUGUGGGGUGCUCGAGUGUCGAACGGGUGAGUAACACGUGAGUAACCUGCCCUUGACUUUUGGAUAACUUCAGGAAACUGGGGCUAAUACCGGAUAGGAGCUCCUGCUGCAUGGUGGGGGUUGGAAAGUUUCGGCGGUUGGGGAUGGACUCGCGGCUUAUCAGCUUGUUGGUGGGGUAGUGGCUUACCAAGGCUUUGACGGGUAGCCGGCCUGAGAGGGUGACCGGACAAAUUGGGACUGAGAUACGGCCCAGACUCCUACGGGAGGCAGCAGUGGGGAAUAUUGCACAAUGGGCGGAAGCAUGAGGCAGCAACGCCGCGUGCGGGAUGACGGCCUUCGGGUUGUAAACCGCUUUCGCCUGUGACGAAGCGUGAGUGAAGGUAAUGGGUAAAGAAGCACCGGCUAAAUAAGUG
Molecule: ribosomal RNA, 468 nt
Filed under: uncultured bacterium
Lineage: Bacteria
Description: partial 16S ribosomal RNA
Rfam family: Bacterial small subunit ribosomal RNA
Source: RNAcentral